UGCAGGUCUUCUGGGGUUUGGACAAAAAGCUUGCACAGAGAGAGCAUUUCCUUUCUGUUAAUUGUUUGAUUUCCUACUCAAAGUAUUCAACGGAAUUGGAAUCUUUCUAUGAGAAGUUCGAUCCAGAUUUCAUCAACAUCAGGACAAAGGCCAGAGAGGUGUUGCAGAGGGAAGAUGAUCUUAGUGAAAUUGUCCAGCUUGUGGGAAAAGAUGCGCUAGCAGAAGGUGACAAGAUCACCUUGGAACCAGCUAAGCUAUUGAGAGAAGACUACCUUGCUCAAAACGCAUUCACACCAAGUGAUACUCAUCAAAGCUUCUUUACCAAAGCUUCCUCAAGAAAACCGCAAGAGUUACGAGGCCAUGGGUCUAGGCACUCAACAGUAUCUUUCCUGGAAAGUGACGUCAAUUUAUAGGCAAGGGUGCUGAAGUGAAGUUCGCCGCAAGUUUGCUAAUGAGUGAUAUCGUUGCUCUCUUGAACAAUGAAGACAAUCUUUAGUCAAUGAUGUUAAACUUACUUCUUAAGAGUUGCUGAGCUGAUACAUGCAAGCAAAGAUGGCACCAUUAGCGGAAAGAGUGGUCAACAGAUAAUGUUUGAGCUCUUGGCCAAGGUGGAACUGCCCUAGGAAUGAUAAAAGAAAAGACUUGGUUAAGGCAAG
This is a long non-coding RNA of Brassica napus (rape), 656 nucleotides long. RefSeq lists it as uncharacterized. Lineage: Eukaryota; Viridiplantae; Streptophyta; Magnoliopsida; Brassicales; Brassicaceae. The transcript has 6 exons. The record is from RefSeq and is a predicted model, not a curated record.